ACGGGGGGUGCAAGCGUUGUUCGGAAUUAUUGGGCGUAAAGAGCGUGUAGGCGGCUGGAUAAGUCAGAUGUGAAAUCCCUGGGCUUAACCCAGGACGUGCAUUUGAAACUGUCCAGCUUGAGUAAGGGAGAGGAAAGUGGAAUUCCUGGUGUAGAGGUGAAAUUCGUAGAUAUCAGGAGGAACACCGGUGGCGAAGGCGACUUUCUGGCCCUAUUCUGACGCUGAGCCGCGAGAUCGUGGGUAGCAAACAG
RNAcentral lists this ribosomal RNA (251 nucleotides) under uncultured prokaryote. Its description in RNAcentral is "partial 16S rRNA". It matches the Rfam family "Bacterial small subunit ribosomal RNA", at positions 525 to 775 of the family's 1533-position model. The record is from RNAcentral.